RNAcentral lists this ribosomal RNA (410 nucleotides) under uncultured microorganism. RNAcentral describes it as "bacterial SSU rRNA". It matches the Rfam family "Bacterial small subunit ribosomal RNA", at positions 509 to 917 of the family's 1533-position model. The record is from RNAcentral.
CAGCCGCCGCGGUAAUACGUAGGGGGCGAGCGUUGUCCGGAAUUAUUGGGCGUAAAGCGCGCGCAGGCGGUCCUUUAAGUCUGAUGUGAAAGCCCACGGCUCAACCGUGGAGGGUCAUUGGAAACUGGGGGACUUGAGUGCAGGAGAGGAGAGCGGAAUUCCACGUGUAGCGGUGAAAUGCGUCGAGAUGUGGAGGAACACCAGUGGCGAAGGCGGCUCUCUGGCCUGUAACUGACGCUGAGGCGCGAAAGCGUGGGGAGCAAACAGGAUUAGAUACCCUGGUAGUCCACGCUGUAAACGAUGAGUGCUAAGUGUUAGAGGGGUCACACCCUUUAGUGCUGCAGCUAACGCGAUAAGCACUCCGCCUGGGGAGUACGGCCGCAAGGCUGAAACUUAAAGGAAUUGGCGGG